AUCCAUCUGACGAGUCCCAAAUAGGAUGAAACGAGCAUCGCGGAU
Molecule: non-coding RNA, 45 nt
Organism: Schistosoma curassoni
Lineage: Eukaryota; Metazoa; Platyhelminthes; Trematoda; Strigeidida; Schistosomatidae
Source: Rfam